UGGGGUGUAGGUCAGUGGCAGAGCACUUGUCUACUAUAUACAAAGCCCUAGGUUCAAUUCCCAGUGUAACAA
This 72-nucleotide transfer RNA is filed under the name Mus musculus (house mouse). RNAcentral's name for it is "tRNA-Ser". Lineage: Eukaryota; Metazoa; Chordata; Mammalia; Rodentia; Muridae. The record is from RNAcentral.